UAGCGGCAGGCUUAACACAUGCAAGUCGAGGGGCGAGCGCGUCGUAGCAAUACGAUGGCGGCGACCGGCGCAAGGGUGCGUAACGCGUGAGCAGUCUGCCCGUAUCAGGGGGAUAAGCGAUGGAAACGUCGUCUAAUACCGCAUAACAGCCGGGGAGGCAUCUUCCUGGUUUGAAAGCUUCGGUGGAUACGGAUGAGCUCGCGAGACAUUAGUUAGUUGGCGGGGUAACGGCCCACCAAGACCGCGAUGUCUAGGGGAACUGAGAGGUUGGUCCCCCACACUGGAACUGAGACACGGUCCAGACUCCUACGGGAGGCAGCAGUGAGGAAUAUUGGACAAUGGUCGGAAGACUGAUCCAGCCAUGCCGCGUGAAGGAAUAAGGUCCUAUGGAUUGUAAACUUCUUUUGAGUGGGAGCAAUAAGGGUAUCGUGAUACCCGAUGAGAGUACCAUUCGAAUAAGCAUCGGCUAACUCCGUGCCAGCCGCGGC
RNAcentral lists this ribosomal RNA (488 nucleotides) under uncultured bacterium. RNAcentral describes it as "bacterial SSU rRNA". It matches the Rfam family "Bacterial small subunit ribosomal RNA", at positions 37 to 518 of the family's 1533-position model. The record is from RNAcentral.